This 69-nucleotide transfer RNA is filed under the name Ictidomys tridecemlineatus (thirteen-lined ground squirrel). RNAcentral describes it as "Spermophilus tridecemlineatus (thirteen-lined ground squirrel) tRNA". It matches the Rfam family "tRNA". From Rfam's summary of the family: Transfer RNA (tRNA) molecules are approximately 80 nucleotides in length. Their secondary structure includes four short double-helical elements and three loops (D, anti-codon, and T loops). Further hydrogen bonds mediate the characteristic L-shaped molecular structure. tRNAs have two regions of fundamental functional importance: the anti-codon, which is responsible for specific mRNA codon recognition, and the 3' end, to which the tRNAs corresponding amino acid is attached (by aminoacyl-tRNA synthetases). tRNAs cope with the degeneracy of the genetic code in two manners: having more than one tRNA (with a specific anti-codon) for a particular amino acid; and 'wobble' base-pairing, i.e. permitting non-standard base-pairing at the 3rd anti-codon position. Lineage: Eukaryota; Metazoa; Chordata; Mammalia; Rodentia; Sciuridae. The record is from Rfam by way of RNAcentral.
GGGGUUGUGGUUUAGCCGUAGAGCGCUCACCUCACAUGUGAAAGGCCCUGGGUUCGAUCCUCAGCACCA